UACAGAGGGUGCAAGCGUUAAUCGGAAUUACUGGGCGUAAAGCGCACGUAGGCGGUUUGUUAAGUCAGAUGUGAAAGCCCCGGGCUCAACCUGGGAAUUGCAUUUGAAACUGGGAAACUAGAGUGUGUGAGAGGGGGGUAGAAUUCCAAGUGUAGCGGUGAAAUGCGUAGAGAUUUGGAGGAAUACCAGUGGCGAAGGCGGCCCCCUGGCACAACACUGACGCUCAGGUGCGAAAGCGUGGGGAGCAAACAGG
Molecule: ribosomal RNA, 253 nt
Filed under: uncultured bacterium
Lineage: Bacteria
Description: partial 16S ribosomal RNA
Rfam family: Bacterial small subunit ribosomal RNA
Source: RNAcentral